This 21-nucleotide non-coding RNA is filed under the name Caenorhabditis elegans. Lineage: Eukaryota; Metazoa; Nematoda; Chromadorea; Rhabditida; Rhabditidae. The record is from RNAcentral.
UCCGAGAAUUUUUAAAUAUUU